UACGAAGGGGGCUAGCGUUGUUCGGAAUUACUGGGCGUAAAGCGCACGCAGGCGGUCUAUUUAGUUAGGAGUGAAAGCCCCGGGCUCAACCUGGGAAAUGCUCUUAAUACUGGUAGGCUUGAAUCACGGAGAGGGUAGUGGAAUUCCGAGUGUAGAGGUGAAAUUCGUAGAUAUUCGGAAGAACACCAGUGGCGAAGGCGACUACCUGGCCGUUGAUUGACGCUCAUGUGCGAAAGCGUGGGGAGCAAACAGG
RNAcentral lists this ribosomal RNA (253 nucleotides) under uncultured bacterium. RNAcentral's name for it is "partial 16S ribosomal RNA". It matches the Rfam family "Bacterial small subunit ribosomal RNA", at positions 524 to 776 of the family's 1533-position model. The record is from RNAcentral.